CCUACGGGGGGCAGCAGUGAGGAAUAUUGGUCAAUGGACGAGAGUCUGAACCAGCCAAGUAGCGUGAAGGAUGACUGCCCUAUGGGUUGUAAACUUCUUUUAUAUGGGAAUAAAAUGUUCCACGUGUGGGAUUUUGUAUGUACCAUAUGAAUAAGGAUCGGCUAACUCCGUGCCAGCAGCCGCGGUAAUACGGAGGAUCCGAGCGUUAUCCGGAUUUAUUGGGUUUAAAGGGAGCGUAGGUGGAUUGUUAAGUCAGUUGUGAAAGUUUGCGGCUCAACCGUAAAAUUGCAGUUGAAACUGGCAGUCUUGAGUACAGUAGAGGUGGGCGGAAUUCGUGGUGUAGCGGUGAAAUGCUUAGAUAUCACGAAGAACUCCGAGUGCGAAGGCAGUUCACUGGACUGCAACUGACACUGAGGCUCGAAAGUGUGGGUAUCAAACAGGAUUAGAUACCCGAGUAGUC
This 460-nucleotide ribosomal RNA is filed under the name uncultured bacterium. RNAcentral's name for it is "partial 16S ribosomal RNA". It matches the Rfam family "Bacterial small subunit ribosomal RNA", at positions 338 to 795 of the family's 1533-position model. The record is from RNAcentral.